This 72-nucleotide transfer RNA is filed under the name Camelus dromedarius (Arabian camel). It matches the Rfam family "tRNA". Rfam says of the family: Transfer RNA (tRNA) molecules are approximately 80 nucleotides in length. RNAcentral also lists the same sequence under 2 other names. The record is from Rfam by way of RNAcentral. Lineage: Eukaryota; Metazoa; Chordata; Mammalia; Artiodactyla; Camelidae.
GAAGGUAUAGCUCAGUGGUAGAGUGCAUGCUUGGCAUGCACAAGGUCCUAGGUUCAAUCCCCGGUACCUCCA